RNAcentral lists this ribosomal RNA (253 nucleotides) under uncultured bacterium. RNAcentral's name for it is "partial 16S ribosomal RNA". It matches the Rfam family "Bacterial small subunit ribosomal RNA", at positions 524 to 776 of the family's 1533-position model. The record is from RNAcentral.
GACGAAGGAUGCAAGCGUUAUCCGGAUUCAUUGGGUUUAAAGGGAGCGUAGGUGGCCUGAUAAGUCAGUGGUGAAAUCUCGAGGCUUAACCUCGAAAUUGCCAUUGAUACUGUUAGGCUUGAGUAUAGUUGCCGUUGGCGGAAUAUGACAUGUAGUGGUGAAAUACAUAGAGAUGUCAUAGAACACCGAUUGCGAAGGCAGCUAACGAAACUAUAACUGACACUGAGGCUCGAAAGUGCGGGGAUCAAACAGG